This 310-nucleotide ribosomal RNA is filed under the name uncultured eukaryote. RNAcentral's name for it is "partial 18S ribosomal RNA". It matches the Rfam family "Eukaryotic small subunit ribosomal RNA", at positions 1470 to 1796 of the family's 1831-position model. The record is from RNAcentral.
CCCUUAGAUGUUCUGGGCGGCCCGCGCACUACAAUGGCGCUUUCAGCGAGUUCCUAUGUUGAAUUUUCCUGGGUAUUCUUGGAAGCGGCGUCUUGACUUGGGAUAGAUCCUUGUAAUUGUUGGUUUUGAACGAGGAAUUCCUUGUAAUCGCGGUUGAUCAGCUCGCGUUGAAUACGUCCCUGCCCUUUGUACACACCGCCCGUCGCUCCUACCGAUGAAUCGUCCGGUGAAGUUCACAGAGUGGCGGUUCGUGGAGUUGCUCGCGAAGUGGAAUGGACCUCACGAUUUAGAGGAAGGAGAAGUCGUAACA